GACUAGUCAGAAGCUAGCUAGCUCAUGCUGUGCCUGCCCGUAAUAGCAGGAGCCUGACUUGGUGACACAGGAAUACUUUCCAGUCCGGUGUUCUUUGUGCUCAAAUCCAUUCUGCUGGGCAUAGCACUAGCAGCUUUGACAAACACACCUUGCUGUUUCCCCCAUCGUUUUUAUAUAUCUGAAGCAACUAGAGGCAGUAGCAUGCCUGCUUCUAUUAAGUGGGUUUAGAAUCUCCUCCAGCCUGGCGAAAUUCCACCACCCUGAAAUCAGCUCAGCCCUGCGAGCUGGCAGAUGACAUGGAUGGUCUAAGCUGUCUUCCAGCCAAGACCUCUUCCCACUGUAGGCAAAGCCAACCAGCCGCUGGGAUGACCGCGUGCUGCUUUUGCUACGAAGAGUGUAUCCGUCUCUCCCUCUGAAAGCAGGACUUUUAUCAUACAAAUUUUGUGAAAGUCAACAUUUUUUUCAAGUAGGUACCAGGGAAGUUUUGGAAGUCUCAAAAAUAUUCACAGGAAAGGAGAAGCAAUUCUUGCUGAUCUCAGCUUGGAUCUUUGGGGGAGUAUGACAUUUUCUGCAAAAUUGACAGAAAACAGCUGGAAGCAACCUGGGUGACUUUGUACCAAAGCAGAUGGGACAUAAGCACACUGUUCUGCUAACUCAUCUUCCCUUCAAGCACUGUGGAGCAAUAACUUUCAGAAACAACAUGGUGGGAUUGUGCUCACCAGAGACUGAACGCCAGCUGAAACAGCUGAAACGUGGCCCUUACAUCAUAUGCAGCCCUGGCAAAAGGGAAAACUCAUAGAGCAGAUCAUCUCCCUCACCUGCCCUCCAGAAA
This is a long non-coding RNA of Cygnus atratus (black swan), 832 nucleotides long. RefSeq lists it as uncharacterized. The record is from RefSeq and is a predicted model, not a curated record. The transcript has 6 exons. NCBI's taxonomy places the organism in Eukaryota, Metazoa, Chordata, Aves, Anseriformes, Anatidae.